UCAUUUAUGUAAAUUAAAAUAGAUGUAGAUGAAUACAGCCUCACUGAUUUGUUUGACUAUUCAGUCUGUUUCAGUCUUCUAGUGUUUUAUCUUGAACUGAUACUUAGUGUAAGUGAAAAGGUCAGAGUUGGGAUUCCUGGUUUGAGUAUCAUGCUUUGUCAUUUUAAUGAAAGUACAGUGACUUCAAGGCAUUUUAUGAAUAACGGGUAUACAUUUUACAGCAGUAAAUUUCUUCAGAAAAUAUUUCUGUAGUUAGGAUUAAGUUAUUUACAAUCAAACAAGUCAUUAUGUGGUAAGGGGCUUAAUAUUCUGCUCAGCUGUGUUUGUGAACAAGUGAUAUGCCCUUACAUUGUAUACAAUCUGGUAUGUGCAACAAUGUGGAGAUUCCUCAAAUGAUUUAAUAAAAUGCUUGAACACUG
This 419-nucleotide long non-coding RNA is filed under the name Bos taurus (domestic cattle). Its description in RNAcentral is "long non-coding RNA NONBTAT000689". Lineage: Eukaryota; Metazoa; Chordata; Mammalia; Artiodactyla; Bovidae. The record is from RNAcentral.